Molecule: long non-coding RNA, 1143 nt
Filed under: Marmota monax (woodchuck)
Lineage: Eukaryota; Metazoa; Chordata; Mammalia; Rodentia; Sciuridae
Source: RNAcentral
GUUGUGUUUUAUUUUUCUGGUGAAAUUUUACUUUAUUCUCAUGAUCUCCAUUGUAUUUUUAAAAUGCUUUUGCUUUGUUAAAAUCUAGUUUUAGCCAGGCGCGAUGGCACACACCUGUAAUCCCAGCAACUUGUGAGGCUGAGACAGGAGGAUGGCGAGUUCAAAGCCAGCCUCAGCAAAAGUGAGGAGCUAAGCAACUCAGAUCCUAUUUCUAAAUAAAAUACAAAAUAGGGCUGAGGAUGGGGAUCAGUGGCCGAGUGCCUCUGGGUUCAAUCCCUGGUACAUCCCCCACACACACACCCCAAAUCCUCUAGUUUGGGGGCUGGGAAUCAAAAACUUCUAGUUUUGUGGCACUUGUUCUCACUCUAUUGUAGGGGAGUAUAAAUUGCGUGCCACCUAAUAUCCUUGUCUUCGGGUGCUUAUUUUCAUAAGAGAUCGGUAACAUAAUUUUCCAGACUUUGGUUUCGGCAGAUAUUAAAGCGAAUGUAGACGCUUUAAGAAUGUGUGAAUUGUAGUGGCAUCACAUGUGACGUGACUGUCGCAGACCCACUGGUGAACACCAACAGGAAGAGCAGGAGGCUGUGGAGCGCAGCAGCCAGCAGGUGUCAAGCACAGAAGCCAAGUUGGGCGUCAGAAACUCUGGCAGACCCCAGAAGCUACCCAAUUGCUCUGCGUCUUUAAAGGAUAUUAAACUUGACGCCAUCCCCUGCUUGGACUAUUCUUUGAAGUAUUUCAGAGACCUCAUGCUGAGAAAUAAUUUAGUGAACCUCAUGAACUUCUGGACUGUUAAACGGAAUGUGACUGGGAGCAGAAACUGCCCAGCUCCUUUGGGGAGCAGCACCCACACUCAGCAGAUGGUUGGUGCAGUCUGGUUCAGAGCCAGCUUUGCUAGGGCAUGGAGCUCUUGUUGGGGGAUACCAGGGGCAUUGUGAUGGUGUCGUGGGUUUGCUUCACAGUACUACAGGGGGAAACGGUAGAGACAGAUCAGGAGGGGUAUGAACUGGCACUGGGGCUGGGUGGUAGGCACAUGAGUUUUCACUUUGUAUUCAGGAAGUUUUUGUUUCUAAUGAGCACUCUAAGGAGAAAAAGAAUGCUUUAGAAAAUUGUGGGUGUCGUUUUGAUAUUGGCCAGGUGUAGGUUUGG